AUGAACACUUUUAUUAUUAGAAUAAAAAUUACAAAUAUAUGCUUGAUAGAUGGAAGGUUUAUUUCAUACAGGGAUAAGCAUGAAGAAAAACUAAACAGUGGUUUAUUUAAAAAAACAUAGGAACUUUCCUUACAUAUCAUGUUAAUCUACAGAUAUGUACUACUUGCAAUCAUGCAUCAUUUAAAAGAAACUUCUUGUUUCACCAUUUAUUGAAAAGUUGAGAUACACAGCAUCUUUUCCUUUCUUGUGAUCCAAUCUUCUCAUUAAAGACAUAACAAGAAUGUGUCCAUAGUACACGGAUGCCCCACUCCCACUAUCAUUUUCUAUGUUCAGGGGACCGUGAAAUUGGGGUCAAAACUUUAAUUUGGAAUUAAAAUAAGAAAGAUCAUAUCAUAGGGAACUGUGUACUAAGUUUAAGUUGAUGUAACUUUAACUUCAUCAAAAACUACCUUGACCAAAAACUUUAACCUGAACUUUGCACUAUCAUUUCCUAUGUUCAGUGGACCAUGAAAUUGGGGUCAAAACUAUAAUUUGGCAUUAAAAUUAGAAAGAAUAUAUCGUGGGGAACAUGUGUAUUAAGGUUCAAGUUGAUUGGACUUAAGCUUCAUCAAAAACUACCUCGACCAAAAACUUUAACCGGACGGACAAACGGAGGCACAGACCAGAAAACAUAAUGCCCCUCUACUAUCGUAGGUGGGGCAUAAAAACAUCAUGGGACAAUAGUUCAUCAGUGAAUUUUACAGGUAGAAACAAUGAAUUGUCUAUUUGUAAAAUCUUUGUCUAAAAGAGUCACAGAACAUUUUAUUUUCAAUUCACUGAAACAUAUAGUUAUGAAGAUACUUGCAAUUCUUAAAAGUUAGAAACUUGGCACUGUUCAAUUAUUUCAGGUUGUUAACCCCCUAGUAGCAGCAGUAAACACCAAAAGAAAAUGAUAUCACAGUUGCUUCACUUGUUUAGAGCUAAAGAAUACUUCAGUUGACUUUUUUCAGAAAGCACUAUCAUAAAUUAAUAAAUCCGGAAUACAA
RNAcentral lists this long non-coding RNA (1025 nucleotides) under Mytilus galloprovincialis (Mediterranean mussel). Lineage: Eukaryota; Metazoa; Mollusca; Bivalvia; Mytilida; Mytilidae. The record is from RNAcentral.